GUGACAAGAAGACCCUAAGAGUUUAUUUUAGCUGGGGCGGCAAUGGUAAUAUAAACUACCAAUUUUAAUUUUAUACCGGUUUUUACAAUUAAUAUAAAACUACCCUAGGGAUAACAGCACAAUGAAUAUAUUUGUUUGUGACCUCGAUGUUGGAUU
RNAcentral lists this ribosomal RNA (156 nucleotides) under ostracod environmental sample. Its description in RNAcentral is "partial 16S ribosomal RNA". Lineage: Eukaryota; Metazoa; Arthropoda; Ostracoda. The record is from RNAcentral.